Molecule: long non-coding RNA, 336 nt
Filed under: Physcomitrium patens
Lineage: Eukaryota; Viridiplantae; Streptophyta; Bryopsida; Funariales; Funariaceae
Description: long non-coding RNA (PPAT_LNC011984)
Source: RNAcentral
AUUUAAUUAAAGUUUGAUUAGAAUUUAAAGUUGGAUUAGAAUUAAGGAUUUGAAUUAAGAUUUUUUAAAGAUUUGAUUAAGAUUUGAUUAGAAUUUAGGAUUUGAGUUAAGAUUUGCUUAAGGUUUAGGAUUUAGGAUUUACUUAGGAUUUGGUUAAGAUUUAAUUAGGAAUUAGGAUUAGAUUAGGAUUUAGAAUUUGAUUUAGGAUUUGUUUAGGAUUUAGGAUUUAAGAUUUGCUUAGGAUUUAGAAUUUGGCCUAGAAUUUGAUUGAAGUUGAUUAGGAUUUCAAUUAGGAUUAAGUUAGGACUUGAUUGAGAUUUAUAUAAAAUAUAUUUA